RNAcentral lists this ribosomal RNA (247 nucleotides) under uncultured bacterium. Its description in RNAcentral is "partial 16S ribosomal RNA". It matches the Rfam family "Bacterial small subunit ribosomal RNA", at positions 87 to 334 of the family's 1533-position model. The record is from RNAcentral.
GGUGGCGACCGGCGCACGGGUGCGUAACGCGUAUAGAACCUACCUUUUACAGAGGGAUAGCCCAGAGAAAUUUGGAUUAAUACCUCAUAGUAUUAUAAAGUGGCAUCAUUUAAUAAUUAAAACUUCGGUGGUAAAAGAUGGCUAUGCGUUCUAUUAGCUAGUAGGUAAGGUAACGGCUUACCUAGGCAACGAUAGAUAGGGGUCCUGAGAGGGAGAUCCCCCACACUGGUACUGAGACACGGACCAG